Molecule: transfer RNA, 60 nt
Filed under: Belonesox belizanus (pike killifish)
Lineage: Eukaryota; Metazoa; Chordata; Actinopteri; Cyprinodontiformes; Poeciliidae
Description: tRNA-Cys
Source: RNAcentral
AGCCCCGAGAUUUACACAGAUUGCAAAUCUGAAGAGCAGGCUAACUUCCUGCCGGGGCUU